GCUUUGUUGCUUCGGAGGCAUCCAAUAAAAUUGGAAUAUACAGAGAAGAUUAGCAUGGAUGAUUCUAAGCAAGGAUGACAUAUACAAAUCGAGAAAUGAACCAGUAAGAA
RNAcentral lists this small nuclear RNA (110 nucleotides) under Nelumbo nucifera (sacred lotus). The record is from RNAcentral. Lineage: Eukaryota; Viridiplantae; Streptophyta; Magnoliopsida; Proteales; Nelumbonaceae.